This 495-nucleotide ribosomal RNA is filed under the name uncultured bacterium. Its description in RNAcentral is "partial 16S ribosomal RNA". It matches the Rfam family "Bacterial small subunit ribosomal RNA", at positions 28 to 507 of the family's 1533-position model. The record is from RNAcentral.
GAUGAACGCUGGCGGCGUGCUUAACACAUGCAAGUCGAACGAAGCACCUCUCCCGAAGAUUGACACAGCUUGCUGUAGAUUGAUUCAUUUGAGGUGACUGAGUGGCGGACGGGUGGGUAACGCGUGGGUAACCUGCCUCAUAGAGGGGGACAACAGUUGGAAACGACUGCUAAUACCGCAUAGUAAGAAGAAUUCGCAUGUUUUCUUCUUGAAAGAUUUAUCGCUAUGAGAUGGACCCGCGUCUGAUUAGCUAGUUGGUAAGGUAACGGCUUACCAAGGCGACGAUCAGUAGCCGGCUUGAGAGAGUGAACGGCCACAUUGGGACUGAGACACGGCCCAAACUCCUACGGGAGGCAGCAGUGGGGAAUAUUGCACAAUGGGGGAAACCCUGAUGCAGCGACGCCGCGUGAGUGAAGAAGUAUUUCGGUAUGUAAAGCUCUAUCAGCAGGGAAGAUAAUGACGGUACCUGACUAAGAAGCCCCGGCUAACUACGUG